UACGAAGGGGGCUAGCGUUGUUCGGAAUUACUGGGCGUAAAGGGAGCGUAGGCGGACAUUUAAGUCAGGGGUGAAAUCCCAGAGCUCAACUCUGGAACUGCCUUUGAUACUGGGUGUCUUGAGUGUGAUAGAGGUAUGUGGAACUCCGAGUGUAGAGGUGAAAUUCGUAGAUAUUCGGAAGAACACCAGUGGCGAAGGCGACAUACUGGAUCAUUACUGACGCUGUGGCUCGAAAGCGUGGGGAGCAAAC
Molecule: ribosomal RNA, 250 nt
Filed under: uncultured bacterium
Lineage: Bacteria
Description: partial 16S ribosomal RNA
Rfam family: Bacterial small subunit ribosomal RNA
Source: RNAcentral